CCUACGGGGGGCAGCAGUGGGGAAUAUUGGACAAUGGGCGAAAGCCUGAUCCAGCCAUGCCGCGUGUGUGAAGAAGGCCUUCGGGUUGUAAAGCACUUUCAGUGGGGAAGAAAGCCUUGGGGCUAAUACCCUCGAGGAAGGACAUCACCCACAGAAGAAGCACCGGCUAACUCCGUGCCAGCAGCCGCGGUAAUACGGUGGGUGCGAGCGUUAAUCGGAAUUACUGGGCGUAAAGCGCGCGUAGGCGGUCUGAUAAGCCGGUUGUGAAAGCCCCGGGCUCAACCUGGGAACGGCAUCCGGAACUGUCAGGCUAGAGUGCAGGAGAGGAAGGUAGAAUUCCCGGUGUAGCGGUGAAAUGCGUAGAGAUCGGGAGGAAUACCAGUGGCGAAGGCGGCCUUCUGGACUGACACUGACGCUGAGGUGCGAAAGCGUGGGUAGCAGACAGGAUUAGAUACCCUAGUAGUC
RNAcentral lists this ribosomal RNA (465 nucleotides) under Vreelandella stevensii. RNAcentral's name for it is "partial 16S ribosomal RNA". It matches the Rfam family "Bacterial small subunit ribosomal RNA", at positions 338 to 795 of the family's 1533-position model. Lineage: Bacteria; Pseudomonadati; Pseudomonadota; Gammaproteobacteria; Oceanospirillales; Halomonadaceae. The record is from RNAcentral.